GCAUAAUCUAGUUGCCCCUCAUCAACCUCUUCAGCAUUUUCCUCCUCAGAAUUCUCACUGACACUAAAUUUAUCAGCAAUGAAUCGUUCCUCAUCUCAGUGUCCUUGUCAUUAUUGUCAGAGAGUUCACUGGAGCCACCCUUGUUCUUCACUUGAUUUUCCCCAUUGCCGAUCAUCUUUUUCCAACAACUCGUUUUUUAAUGCGUUCAUCAUGCACUUCACUAGAGGUUUGAGCAAUGUUAUCAUUCUCAGAAUCCUGAUUAUUCUCAUUAUUUGCACCAUUAAUGUUAUCUUCAAAACUUUGCUAGAUUGGAUCUUUAGUAAUUUGAAAUUCCUGCUCCAGAUCUUGUGAUGCUUUCCCCCUCAUGCAAGACACAAUUUCCAAUGCAUUUUCAUUAGUAAAGGCUACAACAUUUUGCGUUUUCUUUUCCUUUUCUAUAAAACCCGCUGGAAUUUGGUAUUUCAGCUCCAAAUCUUGAGAUUGACUUUUGGGUUGUGCUUCUUGAGAGAAUUUCUUCAGCCUUUCAAUUUGAUCUUCUAACAACUUUUCAAUUUUUUCCAUUUUUGAUACAGC
This 573-nucleotide unclassified non-coding RNA is filed under the name Hevea brasiliensis (rubber tree). Lineage: Eukaryota; Viridiplantae; Streptophyta; Magnoliopsida; Malpighiales; Euphorbiaceae. The record is from RNAcentral.